AUUCCAGCUCCAAUAGCGUAUAUUAAAGUUGUUGCAGUUAAAAAGCUCGUAGUUGGAUUUCUGGGAGGGUGCCGCCGUCCGGCGUGUCCGUGUGCAGUGGCGCCCUUCCAUCCUUCUGUUAGCGUCUCUUGGCAUUCAUUUGCUGGUGGCGGGCUCAGAUAUUUUACCUUGAGAAAAUUAGAGUGUUUCAGGCAGGCUAGGCCGGAAUACAUUAGCAUGGAAUAAUGGAAUAGGACUACGGCCUCUUUGUUGGUUUGAGGGACUGCAGCAAUGAUUAACAGGGACAGUCAGGGGCACUCGUAUUCCGCCGAGAGAGGUGAAAUUCUCAGACCAGCGGAAGACGAACCACUGCGAAAGCAUUUGCCAGGGAUGUUUUCAUCG
RNAcentral lists this ribosomal RNA (381 nucleotides) under Spirotrichea sp. Its description in RNAcentral is "partial small subunit ribosomal RNA". It matches the Rfam family "Eukaryotic small subunit ribosomal RNA", at positions 582 to 975 of the family's 1831-position model. The record is from RNAcentral. Lineage: Eukaryota; Ciliophora; Spirotrichea.